CUCCUACGGGAGGCAGCAGUGAGGAAUAUUGGACAAUGGGCGCAAGCCUGAUCCAGCCAUGCCGCGUGCAGGAUGACGGUCCUAUGGAUUGUAAACUGCUUUUGUACAGGAAGAAACACUGGUACGUGUACCAGCUUGACGGUACUGUAAGAAUAAGGAUCGGCUAACUCCGUGCCAG
Molecule: ribosomal RNA, 178 nt
Filed under: uncultured Flavobacterium sp.
Lineage: Bacteria; Pseudomonadati; Bacteroidota; Flavobacteriia; Flavobacteriales; Flavobacteriaceae
Description: partial 16S ribosomal RNA
Rfam family: Bacterial small subunit ribosomal RNA
Source: RNAcentral